GAUGAACGCUAGCGGCAGGCCUAACACAUGCAAGUCGAACGGUAACAGUUCCUUCGGGAAGCUGACGAGUGGCGCACGGGUGCGUAACGCGUAUGCAAUCUGCCUUGUACUGGAGUAUAGCCCAGGGAAACUUGGAUUAAUCCUCCAUAGUCUAUAUGAUUGGCAUCAUUUAUAUAGUAAAGGUUACGGUACAAGAUGAGCAUGCGUCCUAUUAGCUAGUAGGUGUGGUAACGGCACACCUAGGCUUCGAUAGGUAGGGGUCCUGAGAGGGAGAUCCCCCACACUGGUACUGAGACACGGACCAGACUCCUACGGGAGGCAGCAGUGAGGAAUAUUGGACAAUGGGCGAAAGCCUGAUCCAGCCAUGCCGCGUGCAGGAAGACGGCCCUAUGGGUUGUAAACUGCUUUUAUACGGGAAGAAUAAGGCCUACGUGUAGGCUGAUGACGGUACCGUAAGAAUAAGCACCGGCUAACUCCGUGC
RNAcentral lists this ribosomal RNA (481 nucleotides) under Leeuwenhoekiella sp. ADROW3. RNAcentral's name for it is "bacterial SSU rRNA". It matches the Rfam family "Bacterial small subunit ribosomal RNA", at positions 28 to 508 of the family's 1533-position model. The record is from RNAcentral. Lineage: Bacteria; Pseudomonadati; Bacteroidota; Flavobacteriia; Flavobacteriales; Flavobacteriaceae.